RNAcentral lists this ribosomal RNA (253 nucleotides) under uncultured bacterium. RNAcentral describes it as "partial 16S ribosomal RNA". It matches the Rfam family "Bacterial small subunit ribosomal RNA", at positions 524 to 776 of the family's 1533-position model. The record is from RNAcentral.
UACGUAGGUGGCAAGCGUUGUCCGGAAUUAUUGGGCGUAAAGCGCGCGCAGGCGGUCCUUUAAGUCUGAUGUGAAAUCCCACGGCUCAACCGUGGAAGGUCAUUGGAAACUGGGGGACUUGAGUACAGAAGAGGAAAGCGGAAUUCCAAGUGUAGCGGUGAAAUGCGUAGAGAUUUGGAGGAACACCAGUGGCGAAGGCGGCUCUCUGGGACGGUACUGACGCUGAGACGCGAAAGCGUGGGGAGCAAACAGG